RNAcentral lists this ribosomal RNA (210 nucleotides) under uncultured Paraglomus. RNAcentral describes it as "partial small subunit ribosomal RNA". It matches the Rfam family "Eukaryotic small subunit ribosomal RNA", at positions 591 to 803 of the family's 1831-position model. The record is from RNAcentral. Lineage: Eukaryota; Fungi; Glomeromycota; Glomeromycetes; Paraglomerales; Paraglomeraceae.
CCAAUAGCGUAUAUUAAAGUUGUUGCAGUUAAAAAGCUCGUAGUUGAACUUCAGGCCUGGCUGGACGGUCCGCCUUCCGGGUGAGUACUGUCUGUGGUCGGGUCCUACCUUCUGGCGAAGCGUCAUGGCCUUAACCGGCCGUGGCGGGGAACCAGGACUUUUACUGUGAAAAAAUUAGAGUGUUCAAAGCAGGCAAUUCGCUUGGAUACA